GAUGAACGCUGGCGGCGUGCCUAAUACAUGCAAGUCGAGCGAACAGACGAGGAGCUUGCUCCUCUGACGUUAGCGGCGGACGGGUGAGUAACACGUGGAUAACCUACCUAUAAGACUGGGAUAACUUCGGGAAACCGGAGCUAAUACCGGAUAACAUGUUGAACCGCAUUGUUCAACAGUGAAAGACGGUCUUGCUGUCACGUAUAGAUGGAUCCGCGCCGCAUUAGCUAGUUGGUAAGGUAACGACUUACCAAGGCAACGAUGCGUAGCCGACCUGAGAGGGUGCUCGGCCACGCUGGACCUGAGACGCGCUCCCGACUCCUCCGGGAGGCAGCAGUAGGCAAUCUUCCGCAAUGCGCGAAAGCCUGACGGAGCAACGCCGCGUGAGUGAAGAAGGUCUUCGGAUCGUAAAUCUCUGUUAUUAGAGAAGCACAAAUGUGUAAGUAACUAUGCACGUCUUGACGGUACCUAAUCAGAAAGACACGGCUAACUACGU
Molecule: ribosomal RNA, 496 nt
Filed under: uncultured bacterium
Lineage: Bacteria
Description: partial 16S ribosomal RNA
Rfam family: Bacterial small subunit ribosomal RNA
Source: RNAcentral